AGGGAAUCUUCCACAAUGGACGAAAGUCUGAUGGAGCAACGCCGCGUGAGCGAAGAAGGUUUUCGGAUCUUAAAGCUCUGUUGCUGGAGAAGAACGAGUGCGAGGGGAAAUGCUCGUACUGUGACGGUAUCCAGCCAGAAAGCCACGGCUAACUACGUGCCAGCAGCCGCGGUAAUACGUAGGUGGCAAGCGUUGUCCGGAAUUAUUGGGCGUAAAGCGCGCGCAGGCGGCUUCUUAAGUCUGAUGUGAAAUCUUGCGGCUCAACCGCAAACGGUCAUCGGAAACUGGGAAGCUUGAGUGCAGAAGAGGAGAGUAGAAUUCCACGUGUAGCGGUGAAAUGCGUAGAGAUGUGGAGGAAUACCAGUGGCGAGGGCGGCUCUCUGGUCUGUAACUGACGCUGAGGCGCGAAAGCGUGGGGAGCAAAC
RNAcentral lists this ribosomal RNA (425 nucleotides) under uncultured bacterium. Its description in RNAcentral is "bacterial SSU rRNA". It matches the Rfam family "Bacterial small subunit ribosomal RNA", at positions 356 to 773 of the family's 1533-position model. The record is from RNAcentral.